CCUACGGGAGGCAGCAGUGGGGAAUUUUGGACAAUGGGCGAAAGCCUGAUCCAGCCAUGCCGCGUGAGUGAAGAAGGCCUUCGGGUUGUAAAGCUCUUUCAGCCGGAAAGAAAUCGCGCAGGCUAAUACUCUGCGUGGAUGACGGUACCGGAAGAAGAAGCACCGGCUAACUACGUGCCAGCAGCCGCGGUAAUACGUAGGGUGCGAGCGUUAAUCGGAAUUACUGGGCGUAAAGCGUGCGCAGGCGGUUAUAUAAGACAGAUGUGAAAUCCCCGGGCUCAACCUGGGAACUGCGUUUGUGACUGUAUGACUAGAGUACGGCAGAGGGAGGUGGAAUUCCGCGUGUAGCAGUGAAAUGCGUAGAUAUGCGGAGGAACACCGAUGGCGAAGGCAGCCUCCUGGGCCAGUACUGACGCUCAUGCACGAAAGCGUGGGGAGCAAACAGGAUUAGAUACCCUGGUAGUCCACGCCCUAAACGAUGUCAACUAGUUGUUCGGUGAGGAGACUCAUUGAGUAACGCAGCUAACGCGUGAAGUUGACCGCCUGGGGAGUACGGCCGNAAGGUUAAACUUAAAGGAUUGACGG
Molecule: ribosomal RNA, 585 nt
Filed under: uncultured bacterium
Lineage: Bacteria
Description: bacterial SSU rRNA
Rfam family: Bacterial small subunit ribosomal RNA
Source: RNAcentral